This 1071-nucleotide long non-coding RNA is filed under the name Dasypus novemcinctus (nine-banded armadillo). RNAcentral describes it as "lncRNA (ENSDNOG00000050623.1)". Lineage: Eukaryota; Metazoa; Chordata; Mammalia; Cingulata; Dasypodidae. The record is from RNAcentral.
CUUGCCCUCCUGCAGUAUGAAGUUGGAAAAUGUUGACUGACUGAGCCAACAUGGAAAAAGAUGUUCCCAUGAGAAACCAGGGAGGAGGAUGGGAAGGCUCCAUCUUUUAACAAAGAGAUCCACUCCCUUUCUCUCACGGUUAGGAAGACAUGAAUCCAAGAAACUUCUAUGGAGGAGUUGGAUUUCCAAGUGCCCAGGAUUUGCAGGCCUGCUCACUCCUUAAAGCUGAGAACUGCAUCCACCCUCUUCUACUUCUGAAGACUCAAGCUGGCACAGGGACAGGGGACUAUACUCAAGGCUCUGACCCAGCCCCAUGAGGCUCAGCAUCAAGUCUGCUUAGCUGCUACCCAGAUGUAAGUCUGAGCUCAUAUCCUCUAACUUUCAGUGCCUCCACUUCCUCAUUUGUAGAAUGACGACAUUAAGUGCCUGCCCGAUGGUUGUGUUGUGAAGGUGAAAUGAAAUAAUGCCUGCAACAGGCUCAGAAGAGAACCUGGUACACAGUAAGCACUCAGUAAUUAUUAGCCAUUAUUAAGUUCUAAGAAAGGAUCAUAAUCUUCUUUCCAUCUCUCUGGGUACUUUGUCCCAGGAAACUGCUGGGGAUAUAUAGUUCCUUCCAGAAUUUUUAAUCCAUCUCUAAAGGACAUGAUCCUAUUACCAGCUGGAGAGAUCUUUGCUAACUGCUAGCAUACUUCCUUCAUGCCCCCUGUACCAAGGCUUCCCAUCACUGGGUUUUCUUCUUGGAGCCCCCACCCCUACUCCUGCCCUGGUGUUUCUUUGUGGACCUCAAUGAUUGCCUGUGUAAGACCUGAAGGUCUUUGAUUUGUGCAAGGCCAUGCUUUUCAUGGCAAAGGGUAUUUUCUCUUGGUAUCCAAAGCUAGAUGGGUGCCCUGGUGUAGAGAUUAAGGACUUUGGCUCCAGAGCCACAAAACUGAGUUCUGCCUUUUCCUACUUAUGAGAUUCUGGAUGGUUUUGUUUUUCUUUUCUUUUCUUUUUUUAGGUACCAGGGAUUGAACCCAAGACUUCACAUGUAAGAUGCUGGCACUCCAUCACUGAGUCACAUUGGCACCCCUG